RNAcentral lists this ribosomal RNA (755 nucleotides) under Nephromopsis inermis. RNAcentral's name for it is "LSU rRNA". It matches the Rfam family "Eukaryotic large subunit ribosomal RNA", at positions 201 to 973 of the family's 3401-position model. The record is from RNAcentral. Lineage: Eukaryota; Fungi; Ascomycota; Lecanoromycetes; Lecanorales; Parmeliaceae.
CGUCAUAGAGGGUGAGAAUCCCGUAUGUGACUGUGGAUCGAGCCCAUGUGAAGCCUCUUCGACGAGUCGAGUUGUUUGGGAAUGCAGCUCAAAAUGGGUGGUAAAUUUCAUCUAAAGCUAAAUACUGGCUGGAGACCGAUAGCGCACAAGUAGAGUGAUCGAAAGAUGAAAAGCACUUUGGAAAGAGAGUCAAAUAGUACGUGAAAUUGUUGAAAGGGAAGCGCUUGCAACCAGACCUGUCCGUAGGUGAUCAGCCGCUGUUCUCAGUGGUGCACUCGCUCUGCGAUCAGGCCAGCAUCGGUUCUGGCGGCCGGAUAAAGGCCUUGGGAAUGUAGCUCCUUUCGGGGAGUCUUAUAGCCCUCGGUGCAAUGCGGCCAGCCGGGACCGAGGACCGCGCUUCGGCUAGGAUGCUGGCGUAAUGGUUGUAAGCGACCCGUCUUGAAACACGGACCAAGGAGUCUAACAUCUACGCGAGUGUUUGGGUGUUAAACCCAUGCGCGGAAUGAAAGUGAACGGAGGUGAGAACCCUCAAGGGCGCAUCAUCGACCGAUCCAGAUGUCUUCGGAUGGAUUUGAGUAUGAGCGUAGCUGUUGGGACCCGAAAGAUGGUGAACUAUGCCUGAAUAGGGUGAAGCCAGAGGAAACUCUGGUGGAGGCUCGCAGCGGUUCUGACGUGCAAAUCGAUCGUCAAAUUUGGGUAUAGGGGCGAAAGACUAAUCGAACCAUCUAGUAGCUGGUUCCUGCCGAAGUUUCCCU